GAGUUUGAUCCUGGCUCAGGACGAACGCUGGCCGCGUGUUUAACACAUGGCUACCUUGCGACGAACCAGGCUUCGGCCUGGGCCAAACUCGCGAACGGCCGACUAACACGUGGGUAACGUGCCCCAUUGAUCGGUUGACCCCUUUCAAGCCCGGACUAAUACCGAGUGCGCUCCCCUCACAUCAGUGAGCCCCGGAAAGGCUGAUUCGGCCUCCGCAUUGGCAUCGGCCCGCGGCCCAUUAGCUUGUUGCUGAGGUAACGGCUCACCCCGCUGCGAUGGGUAGCUGGCCUGACAGGACGAUCAACCCACUGGAACUGACACUGGGCCCAGAGUCCUACCCUGGGCAUCAGUGGCAAGUCUUGUUGAUGCGUCAAAGCCUGACUCCGGUUUCCGCCGGGGGGAACAAGGGCUUCCCCUUGUAAAUGCCUUUCACGAGGGACGAAGCCCGGACGUCUAAUAGCCAAUCCGGGUGACAUCUACCUCCAGAAGAAUGCCCGGCUAACUGCGUGCCCUGAGACGCUGCACUACGUAGGAAGCAAGGGUUGUCCGGAAUCCUUGAACGUGUAGAGCGUGUAUGCGGUCCUUCAAGUCGGCUGUGAAAGUCCCACAUGUCUCCCCUGCUUUGCCGGUCGAUACUGCCGGACUUUGAGUUCGGAAGAGUGCGAGUGGAAUUCCCGGUGUAGCGGUGAAAUGCGCAGAUAUCGGGAGGAACACCUAUGGCGAAGGCAGCUCGCUGGGACGUUACUGACGCUGAGACGCGAAAGCGUGGGGAGCAAACAGGAUUAGAUACCCUGGUAGUCCACGCCGUAAACGAUGGGCACUAGGUGUGGGAGGUGUCGACUCCUCCCGUGCCGGAGCUAACGCAUUAAGUGCCCCGCCUGGGGAGUACGGCCGCAAGGCUAAAACUCAAAGGAAUUGACGGGGACCCGCACAAGCAGCGGAGCAUGUGGUUUAAUUCGACGCAACGCGAAGAACCUUACCUGGGUUUGACAUGUUCCUGACCGCCGUGGAAACACGGCUUCCCCUUGUGGGCAGGAUCACAGGUGGUGCAUGGCUGUCGUCAGCUCGUGUCGUGAGAUGUUGGGUUAAGUCCCGCAACGAGCGCAACCCCUGUCGCAUGUUGCCAGCAUUUAGUUGGGGACUCAUGCGAGACUGCCGGUGACAAACCGGAGGAAGGUGGGGAUGACGUCAAGUCAUCAUGCCCCUUAUGUCCAGGGCUACACACGUGCUACAUUGGCCGGUACAGAGGGCUGCGAUACCGCGAGGUGGAGCGAAUCCCAAAAAGCCGGUCUCGGUUCGGAUUGGAGGCUGAAACUCGCCUCCAUGAAGGCGGAGUUGCUAGUAAUCCCGGAUCAGCAACGCCGGGGUGAAUACGUUCCCGGGUCUUGUACACACCGCCCGUCACACCACGAAAGCGGGCAACACCCGAAGCCGGUGACCCAACCCUUACGGGAGGGAGCCGUCGAAGGUGGGACUGGCGAUUAGGACUAAGUCGUAACAAGGUAGCCGUACCGGAAGGUGCGGCUGGAUCACCUCCUUUCU
RNAcentral lists this ribosomal RNA (1542 nucleotides) under uncultured bacterium. RNAcentral describes it as "partial 16S ribosomal RNA". It matches the Rfam family "Bacterial small subunit ribosomal RNA". The record is from RNAcentral.